UGCGCAGGCGCAGAAGACAUGGCGGGCGAGGUUGGGAGUAGUGGCUGCGGCGGCGGCGAAAGGAUCUCUGGUCUGCAGUUGGAGGGGCUGGGCCUGAGGAGUGCGUGAUGCUGCUGAGCUAGAAAGCUUGUGACUUCCCUGUCUCUGCGCUGGUCACAUGGAAGUGUUCAUGCUAUGGAAAGUGGAAUUAGUAGAAAAGAUCUCCGGUCUGUGGUUGGAGGAGCUGGGCCUGCGGAGUGCACGAUGCUGCGGAGCUAGAAAGCUUGUGACUUCCCUGUCUCUGCGUAGUCACAUGGAAGCGCUCAUGCUAUGGAAAGUGGAAUUAGUAGGUAAGCUAAAAACCAGACCAGUUCUGGGCUGAAAUGUCUGUUCCUCUCCACACCCCAGCCCUGCUCCAGAGAAAUCAGAGUGUCCCAAAGCCAUUGGCUUGAAAAAAAAACAAACAGAAACCCUUGGAGCUUGAUGAGCAGAAUGGUAUGGGCUCAGUCAGAACUCCCGAGUUGGUUUUGAGCAGUGCCCCAGAAUGAUGCUUUGCUGCGUGUGAAAUGUGGAUCUGAGGCUUUGACCGCUUAUAAUACAGUAACUGGUCCCAUUCUGGCACUUGUCUCGGGAGUGUGUGUUGACCCCAGUGUGCUGGCCAGGUUCCACCGUGGGGAAUUCUGGGAUGGCGCAAUGUAACUAAGCCUGUAAUGUCAGUGAACUCAUUCUUCCCACAGACUGUUGUAUUGCUGAUGGAAAAUAGCUGCUGCGUGUUAGUGCUGCAGGUCAUCUCUGUAUAAAAAUCACACCCGUGAGAGGGUCUUUGGGGUUCAGAUGAUGCAGCAUAAAUGCUGUUGAUCAUUAGAAGUAGGAAUCACGAGACUGCAGCCUUAGUUACGCAUGCACUGAUCUGUGGCAAAGUCCAUAUGAAUAAAUAUAUCAGCUUGUGA
This 929-nucleotide long non-coding RNA is filed under the name Gopherus agassizii (Agassiz's desert tortoise). Its description in RNAcentral is "lncRNA (ENSGAGG00000007399.1)". The record is from RNAcentral. Lineage: Eukaryota; Metazoa; Chordata; Testudines; Testudinidae.